GUUUGAGACAAGCCUGGGAAACAUGGCAAAACUCCACCUCUACAAAAAAAUAUAAAAAUUACCUGAGUAUGGUGGCACAUACCUGUAGUCCCAGCUACUUGAGAGGCCGAGGUGGGAGGAGAGCUUGAGCCUGGGUGGUUGAGACUACAGUGAGCUGUGAUUGUGCCACUGUACUCCAAUCUGGGCAACAGGGCAAGACCCUGUCUCAAAAAAUAAUAAAAAUAAAAAUGCUAAGGAAUCAAAAGUAACUUUCAAUCUAUAUAAUUGUCCUUAUUUGUCUUGAAUAUGUGCACCAUAUCAUAAAACAUCAUAUAUUUAAAGUGUCAUUUAAGGAGAAUUUAUUCAGUGCUUCAUUGUCAGGACUCUGGUGAAAUGGCAGAUUCUGCUCAUAAAAAAAAAAUGAAGGUGAAAGUGAUUUUUCACUUCCUGAGUAAACAAUAUAACCUGAGGCAUAGAUGUGCAUUUUGAGAGUUACGUUUUAAAUUAGACUUAAGUUUUCUACUUUCAAAUUUAUAUUUAAGAUUCUUGCAAUCUUUUACUCACUUUUGAGAAUUUGCAAGAAUUUAUUUUAAGCAUAAGCAAUCUUAAUAUAAUAAUCUGUAAGAAAAUGAAUUGUUCCUAUGUUUUGCACUAGAGUAAUGACUUUGAUUUUGAUGUGGUAUUGAUCAAUAACUCUAUUCUAUAGGAAAAUGGAAACGUCACUCCCUAGAAACAGUUGAAGUUGACAGACCUAGAGGUUGACAAAAGGACACAACACUAGGCAAGGUCUUGUAAUUCAGAGUCAACACUCUGCAAUCCUAUCUUCUAUUUUCUAACUAAACCUGUCAAGUCACAUUUAAGACCAUCCACAAAAAAAGAAGAUUGCACAGCUGUGACAUUGUCACCCCUACUGAGACCAAAGUAUACCUGGAAUUUACUAGUUAAGCAGUCUCAGAAAUCAGAGAUGGAUUGUUUAUAGAGUUGGAUUCAUUGCCAAUAAAUCUUAAAG
Molecule: long non-coding RNA, 988 nt
Filed under: Macaca mulatta (Rhesus monkey)
Lineage: Eukaryota; Metazoa; Chordata; Mammalia; Primates; Cercopithecidae
Description: lncRNA (ENSMMUG00000056283.1)
Source: RNAcentral